UAAGGGGAAAGCAGCAAUGCGCUGGAAGAGGAGUCCGCGGCUGAUAGCUAGUUGGUGAGGUAAUGGCCCACCAAGGCGAAGAUCGGUAGCCGGCCUGAGAGGGCACACGGCCACACUGGCACUGAAACACGGGCCAGACUCCUACGGGAGGCAGCAGUGGGGAAUCUUGCACAAUGGAGGAAACUCUGAUGCAGCGACGCCGCGUGAGCGAUGAAGCCCUUCGGGGUGUAAAGCUCUUUCGACGGGAACGAUAAUGACGGUACCCGGAGAAGAAGCUGCGGCUAACUACGUGCCAGCAGCCGCGGUAAUACGUAGGCAGCGAGCGUUGUUCGGAAUUACUGGGCGUAAAGGGUGUGUAGGCGGUGCUCUAAGUCUGGUGUGAAAUCUCCCGGCUCAACUGGGAGGGUGCGCCGGAAACUGGAGUGCUAGAGGGUGGGAGAGGAAAGCGGAAUUCCUGGUGUAGCGGUGAAAUGCGUAGAUAUCAGGAGGAACACCUGUGGUGUAGACAGCUUUCUGGACCACUUCUGACGCUGAGACACGAAAGCGUGGGUAGCAAACAGGAUUAGAUACCCUGGUAGUCC
This 581-nucleotide ribosomal RNA is filed under the name uncultured bacterium. Its description in RNAcentral is "bacterial SSU rRNA". It matches the Rfam family "Bacterial small subunit ribosomal RNA", at positions 196 to 796 of the family's 1533-position model. The record is from RNAcentral.